GUUGUAAGCGACCCGUCUUGUAACACGGACCAAGGAGUCUAACAUGUGUGCGAGUGCUCGGGGUAAACCCCCCAGCGCGAAAUAAACGUAAAGGUGAAUUUAUUCACUUAGGUAGGAUCCUUAGGUGCACUAUCGACCGACCAUGAUCCUCCGGGAGAAAGGUUUGAGUGUGAGCAUACAUGUUGGGACCCGAAAGAUGGUGAA
This 204-nucleotide ribosomal RNA is filed under the name Coccolithus braarudii. RNAcentral describes it as "partial Eukaryotic large subunit ribosomal RNA". It matches the Rfam family "Eukaryotic large subunit ribosomal RNA", at positions 637 to 830 of the family's 3401-position model. The record is from RNAcentral. Lineage: Eukaryota; Haptophyta; Coccolithales; Coccolithaceae.